Non-coding RNA from Oryza glumipatula, 206 nucleotides. The record is from Rfam. Lineage: Eukaryota; Viridiplantae; Streptophyta; Magnoliopsida; Poales; Poaceae.
UUUAAGUGGGAACAUAAGUUUCUGCGUCCAACUUUUACCAUCCGUUUUAUUUGAAAAAAAAUUAUAAUUAGUAUUUUUGUUGUUAUGAGAUGAUAAAACAUGAAUAGUAAUUUACUCGUGACUUAUGUUUUAAAAUUUUUUUCAAAAACUUUUCAAAUAAGAUGAACGGCCAAAGUUGAAUGUGAAAAACCAUGGCUGCAUUUAAA